GAUGAACGCUAGCUACAGGCUUAACACAUGCAAGUCGCGGGGCAGCAUGGGGGUUGCUUGCAAUCCCCGAUGGCGACCGGCGCACGGGUGAGUAACGCGUAUCCAACCUGCCCUUCACCACGGGAUAACCCGGCGAAAGUCGGACUAAUACCGUAUGUUGUCCAUUGACGGCAUCCGAUUUGGACGAAAGGUUUGGCGGUGAAGGAUGGGGAUGCGUCCGAUUAGCUGGACGGCGGGGUGACGGCCCACCGUGGCGACGAUCGGUAGGGGUUCUGAGAGGAAGGUCCCCCACACUGGAACUGAGACACGGUCCAGACUCCUACGGGAGGCAGCAGUGAGGAAUAUUGGUCACUGGGCGUAAGCCUGAACCAGCCAAGUAGCGUGCAGGAUGACGGCCCUAUGGGUUGUAAACUGCUUUUAUGCGGGGAUAAAGUGGCCCACGUGUGGGUUUUUGCAGGUACCGCAUGAAUAAGGACCGGCUAAUUCCGUG
Molecule: ribosomal RNA, 490 nt
Filed under: uncultured bacterium
Lineage: Bacteria
Description: partial 16S ribosomal RNA
Rfam family: Bacterial small subunit ribosomal RNA
Source: RNAcentral